UACAGAGGUCUCAAGCGUUGUUCGGAUUCAUUGGGCGUAAAGGGUGCGUAGGCGGCGUGGUAAGUCGGAUGUGAAAUCUCGGAGCUUAACUCCGAAACUGCAUUCGAUACUGCCGUGCUUGAGGACUGGAGAGGAGACUGGAAUUUACGGUGUAGCGGUGAAAUGCGCAGAUAUCAGGAGGAACACCAAUGGCGAAGGCAGCUCGCUGGAACGGAACUGACGCUGAGGCGCGAAAGCGUGGGGAGCGAACAGG
Molecule: ribosomal RNA, 253 nt
Filed under: uncultured bacterium
Lineage: Bacteria
Description: partial 16S ribosomal RNA
Rfam family: Bacterial small subunit ribosomal RNA
Source: RNAcentral